Molecule: signal recognition particle RNA, 272 nt
Filed under: Malus domestica (apple)
Lineage: Eukaryota; Viridiplantae; Streptophyta; Magnoliopsida; Rosales; Rosaceae
Description: sRNA MD06G0117800
Rfam family: Plant signal recognition particle RNA
Source: RNAcentral
GCCGAGUUAGGUCGCGCUAGCUUGCAACUCAAGUGGGGGCACCAAGAUGGUGGGACAUCGGUUCAACUCAUUUGGCAGGGCUUUGCUGUUGCAAUUUGCAGGCUCGCCCGUUCCAAGUUGUGAGUUGGGUCAUGUGGUUCGGGCAAUGCGUGAGGCUGGUUUAACAGAGCUGCGAAAACCUCUCGCUCUCAACAACGGAAGGAUUACGGGUUGGUGCACCGCUAGCCCAGAUUGUCUCAUGGGUUGAGACCUUGUUGUGAACCACCACCUUU